AUGGAGGGAAAACAACAAUGGGACAUGGUGGACCCUGGAUUCAAGCUUUGCGCUCCAGUUCUGAAGAGAGCAGCAGGUAGACCAAGGAAGAGUCAAAUCAGACCUCGCAGCGAAGGAGCUGGACUUGGAGCGAGGAAGCGUAAGUGCACAAGGUCUGGUGGGUCUGGUCAUUUCGGUAAGUAUUGUGAUAACACAGUAAAUCCAGCGUUCGGAGAGAGUUUUGAUGAAGGCUUCGAUGAAAAUGUUGGUCAGCAGCCGGUUGCCUCAACAGAUGAUGAAAAUGAUGGUCAGCAGUCGGUUGCAUCAGAUGAGGAUUUUGACGAGGUUCCAAAUGAUGAUGGUCAAUAG
This 348-nucleotide ribosomal RNA is filed under the name Triticum aestivum (bread wheat). RNAcentral's name for it is "partial small subunit ribosomal RNA". Lineage: Eukaryota; Viridiplantae; Streptophyta; Magnoliopsida; Poales; Poaceae. The record is from RNAcentral.